ACAUGGCGGAUGGUGGAGGCUGGCGGCCGCCGCGCCCCUGCGAAGUCUACGGCGCGGAGUGGAAGCUCUGCCGCAGCGCCAGACACUUCCUGCACCACUACUACGUCCACGGCGAACGGCCGGCCUGCGAGCAGUGGCGGCGCGACCUGGCCAGCUGCCGGGAGUGGGAGGAGCGCCGGAGCGCGGAGGCCCAGCGGUCCCUCUGUGAGAGCGAGCGUGCAAGAGUCCAGGCUACACGGAAGCACGCCCUGGUGUGGGCCCUGAGGCAGAGCCCUCCUGCAGACUGGCACCUCCCUCUACCACAAGAGGAGAAAGACCAGUGAUGAGCACUCCGGAACGGCUUCCUCUCAUCUGUUUGAAGUGGGGCUGUCGCCCUAAGGACAGUGACCGGCUCAGUCUAGUGGGUCCCUGAAUUUUCCACACGGCUUAGAACACAGAGCCUGGGGUCUCCAGCCCUCCUUGCCCACCCCCGCUGCUGCCUUGCUCUGGCAGACAAUCUCGCCCACCGCACAGCUCCCAGGAUGCCAAACACCACCGCAGAUCCCAGUGAGCAGCCAGGUCAGGCCAGUUCAUGCUCCACUCCCAGGGACAACAGCAUUCUCAGGGCUGGAGGCUGCCCGCCACUGAAUGCGCUCUCUGUGAGGAAGUCUUAGUGACAGAUAUCAUUGCUGCACAGAAUGUUCCUACGUCUGCUCCUGUUUUAACUUUUAACUCCCAACAUCUGAGCACCUGCUACACUGCCCGGUGGGGCCUUUGGCUCUGGGAUUGCACUCUUGAGCACCUGCUACACUGCCCGGUGGGGCCUUUGGCUCUGGGAUUGCACUCUUGAAAUGGGCAAGUUGCCUUCAAAGAGCUCCAGUUGAGUUUAGGGGCCUGACAUAAACAUUUAAACAUCAUUAAAUAAGUCUAAAAUAAUGGUAAGUGCUGUGAAGAAAAUGGGCAGGGAGAAGAUAGAGCAGCUCUCAAAUUUUUUGCAUGAAACCCGUAACAAGUUUUAUGAUCUGGUACAUACUUUAUAUGCUACAUAUAUGAUUGAAAUAAGCCUCACAAAACAGUCCUUAUCUGUACAAGGCGUGAUACACUGACAUUUGCAGUUCUGUGCCACUGAAAAGAAACUGCUGUAUGUGCAGCAGCUUGGGUGAAGCUCAAGUAAAUUAUACCGAGCUAAAAAAUCUUAAAUGGGUGCAUAUGACACAGUUGCAUUUAUGUAACAUUGGUGAAAUGAUGUAAUAAUAGGGAUGGAGAAUGGCUAAUGGUGCCAAGGGUUAGGGAUGGAAGGAGGGUGUGGAUGUGGAUAGGGUACAUAAGGGGAUCCUGUGGUAAUGGAACCUUGACUCCUACAGAGCUGCAUGUGUGAUGGAAUUGUGCAAUGCUAGACAUACACACAGGUGAGUGCAGACACAGUGGGAAACCUGAAUGCAUUCUGGGCUCUGCCUAUGUCAGUCUCUUUCUCACACACUGUAUGUGGCGUGUAAGAUGUUAACACUUGGGGAGGCUGGGAGAACCACAUACAGCCUCUCCUUGCAUCUUUAUUUCCAGCCUCCUAUAAAUCUGUAACUGCUUCAAAAUAAAAAGUUAUA
Enhydra lutris kenyoni (northern sea otter) is the source of this 1580-nucleotide RNA transcript. It is a transcript of the gene named chromosome unknown C22orf39 homolog, with no coding region annotated. The record is from RefSeq and is a predicted model, not a curated record. The transcript has 4 exons. NCBI's taxonomy places the organism in Eukaryota, Metazoa, Chordata, Mammalia, Carnivora, Mustelidae.